UGGCGGACGGGUGAGUAAUGCUUGGGAAUCUGGCUUAUGAGGGGGGAUAACUACGGGAAACUGUAGCUAAUACCGCGUAAAAUCUUUGGAUUAAAGGGUGGGACUUUCGGGCCACCUGCCAUAAGAUGAGCCCAAGUGGGAUUAGGUAGUUGGUUAGGUAAAGGCUGACCAAGCCGACGAUCUCUAGCUGGUCUGAGAGGAUGACCAGCCACACUGGAACUGAGACACGGUCCAG
This 235-nucleotide ribosomal RNA is filed under the name uncultured bacterium. Its description in RNAcentral is "partial 16S ribosomal RNA". It matches the Rfam family "Bacterial small subunit ribosomal RNA", at positions 96 to 334 of the family's 1533-position model. The record is from RNAcentral.